Molecule: long non-coding RNA, 745 nt
Organism: Spea bombifrons (plains spadefoot toad)
Lineage: Eukaryota; Metazoa; Chordata; Amphibia; Anura; Pelobatidae
Exons: 2
Source: RefSeq, a predicted model, not a curated record
CGUACAGUUUCAGUACACAAAAAUGUUAAAUACGAAUAAUUUCCUCCAAAGUUUAUUAUAUAUAUAUUUUUUUAUUGUCAAAAGUGUAUGCAAACAUUCAUAGUAAAAAAAAAAAAGCACUACGAAAACCCAAAAGGACAUAUCAGUCACGUCCUCCUUAUUGUUGCGGUUGUCUUUAUAUCUUUUUAAGUAUGGUUUGAGUGUUACUGAAUUACAACUAAAUGGACAAAAGGGAAGGCAGAGAAUGUGAAGAGGUGAGUUCCCAUUUUCAUUCUUUCCCCUGUGAAUGUUUACUGCCCCUCCUAACCCUUUUAUUCUCUGCCCUCUCCCUCUCUCUCUCUUCCUAAAAAUAGUAGCUCUGGGGAAAAAAAAGAUACUGCGGGAAGUUCAGUUAGUAGAAAAUCAGGGAUGGCCAGGGAUCUAGGAAAAAUCGAAGAAGGUUAAAGCACAGAGAGAGAGCCAGGUUGGCAGAUGUGAAGGGGACGGAACGAAGAGUGCAAGAAAGAGGACAUAGAGGAGGCAGCAGCGACCCGGGAGAGGAGAAAGGAGGGGAGGGAUGGAUGGAUGAAAGCAAGCAAGAAAGGAAGGAAGCAAGGAGGCAGGCAGCGUUAGGCAGACCCAUUCAGAAUGAUCGUGAAAUAAGUGAUAACAGAAACACCCAGAAAGUGAUAAAGGAGCAAAGGUUGCGGUAAAGGAAGCAAAGAAGGCAGCAUUACGAACAAAGAGAGAGGAGAUCAGAAUAAAA